AGCAACCCGCUAGGGUCUUUUUCCACACCGUGGAAGCUUUGUUCUUUUGCUUUUUGCAAUAAAUCUUACUGCUGGUCACUCUUUGGGUCCACACUGCCUUUAUGAGCUGUAACACUCACCGCGAAGGUCUGCAGCUUCACUCCUGAAGCCAGUGAGACCACGAGCCCACUGGGAGGAAUGAACAACUCCAGAAACGCCGCCUUAAGAGCUGUAACACUCACCAUGAAGGUCUGCAGCUUCACUCCUGAGCCAGCGAGACCACGAACCCACCAGAAGGAAGAAACUCCGAACACAUCUGAACAUCAGAAGGAACAAACUCCGGACACGCUGCCUUUAAGAACUGUAACACUCACUGUGAGGGUCCACGGCUUCAUUCUUGAAGUCAGUGAGACCAAGAACCUACCAAUUCUGGACACAGUGAGACCAAGAACCCACCAAUUCCGGACACAACACUGAAAAAGAGAAGUGAAAGAGGACACCCUUACCUUGUUUCUGAGCUGAGAAAGCUUCUUGUUUCUCACCAUUAAUAGGUGUUAGCUAUAGGGUUUUGUUAAUGUUCUUUAUCAAAUAGAGGAAGUUCUCUUCUAGUCCUAGUUUGGUGAGAGUUUUUAUCAUAAAUGGGUAUCGGACUUAGUCAAUUUUUUUUUGUAUCUAUUGAUGUAAUCUUGUGAUUUUUCUUUCUCUGUUGAUGUGAUGGAUUAUAGUGAUUGAGUUUUUGAAUGUUGAACCAGGCUUGCAUACCUUGGGUAAUUCCAUUUGGUCACGGUAUAUAAUUCUUUUGUUUUGUUUUGUUUUUGAGACGAAGUCUCGCUCUGUCACCCAAGCUGGAGUGCAGUGGCGUGAUCCCAGCUCACAGCAACCUCCACCUCCCAGGUUCCAGCGAUUCUCCUGCCUCAGCCUCUGGAGUAGCUGGGACUACAGGUGCGUGCCACCAUGCCCAGCUAAUUUUUGUAUUUUUAGUAGAGACA
RNAcentral lists this long non-coding RNA (968 nucleotides) under Homo sapiens (human). RNAcentral describes it as "non-protein coding lnc-ZFAND6-4:1". The record is from RNAcentral. Lineage: Eukaryota; Metazoa; Chordata; Mammalia; Primates; Hominidae.